GGUAUAGCUGUCUUUUCAAGAAUGUCAUGUACAUGGAAUCAUAGAGCUUCUAGCCUCUGCGGCCAGCCUCUCUCACUCAGCCCAGUGUUACUGAGCAUCCUCCACGUCGUCUGAUGGACGCUUCGUUCCUUUCUGCUGCCGAGUGGUGCUCCAUUGUGUUCACCUUCCAAUUUGUUAUCCUUUCACAGGGACAUAUGUGUUGUUUCUGGGUUUAGCGAUUAUAUAUAUUCAUGUACAGGUUUUCCAUGUGAACAUUAAUUCCCGUUCCUCUUGAAUAAAUGCUCAGGAGCGGGAUGGCUGGGUCACGUGAAAGCCUGUCUUUAACUUUAUAGGAAACUUCCAACUCUCUUCCAGAGUGGCUGCCCCGUCUGGUGUGCCACCAGCAGUGUACGGGUCUAGCCACUGUUCACCCUCACGAGCACUGGGUGUUGUCUGGUUAUUUUUUAAGCCAUUCUGAUACAUAUGUAGUGGUAUCUCAUUGUAGUUUGAAGUUGCAUUUCCCAAAUGGGUAGAGAUGUUGAGUACCUUCUCCUGUGCUUAUUUGCUAUUGCUCUGACAGUUGGGUAAGUUUUGCUGUCAACUUCUGCCCUUAGCACUAACCUGAGCUGGCGGGGCAUCACCCCGUGCCCGGCACUGCCCUAGAGAAACUGUAGGUGGGAAUUGCUCAGAAGGUUCAGAGGACCCCAGUAAUAGCAAAACCUGGGAAUGACCAGCCAUCUUCCAGUAGAAGAGUGGAUUGACAAGUUGUGGCCUGUUCCCAAAAUGGAAUUUGUCCAGUACUAGGAAUGAGUGAAUUAUAGAUAUAUCCAGCAAUUUGGGAGAAUCUUAGAAAUAUAUUGAGUUUCAAAAACAAGUCACGGGCCAAAAAAAACAAGUCCCAGAAGGCUGCAUACACAGUGUUAAGACCAUUUGUUUUUUAAACAAGGUCUUAUUUAUUUGUUUACUUAUGGAUGCAUUGGGUCUUCGUUGCUGCACAUGGGCUUUCUCGAAUCGUGGCGAGCGGGGGCUACUCUUUGUUGCGGUGCGCGGGCUUCUCAUUGCUGUGGCUUCUCGUUGCGGAGCACAGGCUCUAGGCGCACGGGCUUCAGUAGUUGUGGCACACGGGCUCUAGAGCACAGGCUCAGUAGUUAUGGCACAUGGGCUUAGUUGCUCCGUGGCAUGUGGGAUCUUCCCGGACUAGGGCUCAAACCGGUGCAUUGGCAGGCGGAGUCUUUUUUUUUGGGCGGUACGCGGGCCUCUCACUGCUGUGGCCCCUCCCGUCACGGAGCACAGGCUCCGGAUGUGCAGGCUCAGCGGCCAUGGCUCACGGGCCCAGCCGCUCUGCGGCAUGUGGGAUCUUCCCGGACCGGGGCACGAACCCGUGUCCCCUGAAUCGGCAGGCAGACUCUCAACCACUGUGCCACCAGGGAAGCCCAACAGGUGGAUUCUUAACCACUGUGCCACCAGGGAAGCCCAAGACAAUUUUUUUAAGCUCAAAAAAUUAAAACUAAGUAGUGUUUAGGGAGAAACAUAUGAGGUAAAUUUCUUUAAGCAAGGGAUUGUAAUAAACAUUGCUUCAGGGUAAUGUAUAUGGGGAGAAUGCAGGAAGUUUCAAAAUUAUUGGUAAUUUUCUAGUUUUUAAAUUGAAGGAUGGGAUCAUGGUGUUUAUUUUAUCAUGAUGCAUCAUGACUUAUAUGUGCCAUAUCUUCCUUUCUGUGUAUCAAAUAUUAUAUAAAAUAUUUAAAACAGAACCAAGGGACUUCCCUGGUGGCUCAGUGGAUAAGACUCUGCACUCCCAGUGCAGGGGGCCCGGGUUCGCUCCCUGGUCAGGGAACUAGACCCCACAUGCGUGCUGCAACUAAGAGCUUGCAUGCCACAAAUGAGGAUCUCACGUGCUGCAACUAAGGAGCCCGCCUGCUGCAACUAAGACCUGGCGCAACCAAGAAAGGAAGGAAGGAAGGGAGGGAGGGGGAUU
Long non-coding RNA from Phocoena sinus (vaquita), 1954 nucleotides. NCBI's taxonomy places the organism in Eukaryota, Metazoa, Chordata, Mammalia, Artiodactyla, Phocoenidae. The record is from Ensembl.